Molecule: ribosomal RNA, 328 nt
Filed under: uncultured eukaryote
Lineage: Eukaryota
Description: partial 18S ribosomal RNA
Rfam family: Eukaryotic small subunit ribosomal RNA
Source: RNAcentral
CCCUUAGAUGUUCUGGGCCGCACGCGCGCUACACUGAUACGUUCAGCGAGUAUAUAACCUUGAUUGGAAAAUCUGGGUAAUCUUUUGAAUGCGUAUCGUGCUAGGGAUAGAUUAUUGCAAUUAUUAAUCUUGAACGAGGAAUUCCUAGUAAACGCAAGUCAUCAGCUUGCAUUGAUUACGUCCCUGCCCUUUGUACACACCGCCUGUCGCACAAACCGAUUGAAUGAUUCGGUGAAAAUUUUGGACAUCGAGAGAGGUGAUUAAUUUCGCUGCUCUUAAAUGGAAAGAAUUUAAACCUAAUUAUUUAGAGGAUUGUGAAGUCAUAACA